AACCCACCCCCUGCAAAAAAAAACGCUCCUCUCGAUCCCAUCUCCGAUCUCCCUGCCCCGACUCUUCGUAGCCGCCGCCCACGUACGAACUCGUUCGUUGCCGCCGCCGCCGUCCGAGGGGAGACGCCGCCGCCGCGUCUCCAGGGCAGGGCGGCUUGAAUCCCUGUCGCCGGGAUCGCCCCCGCCGAACUCCGGGCCAUGUUGAGAUCCAGCAGGCCAUGGCGGCGACCAGCGCCGGGAUAGGACUAGGAGGCCGCCGGCGUCUCCCUGAUCCGUGACCCCGACGCCAUGGAGCUGCUCGUCAAGGCACGCGCGGGUCCAGCGGCAGGAAGGGCAGAGAGGAGGACCGAGCCCGCCGGUGCGCGUGACCAAGGGAUGUAACUGCCCGGAGCUACUUCGCCCUCGACGAAGAGGAGACCGCGGGCCAGAGCUCCUGGUCUCCCAGGGCCGCCGAGCGCAAGGAGCUAUUGCCAUGGCACCUCCUCGCUCGCCCUCGGUGCGGCGGCCGUGUAUAUGGAAUUGUGCUCUGGUGGGGGCUCCGAGGGAGGAAACCGAUGAGCACAAGGCGCUACUGCCAUAGCGUCCGGAGGGAGGCAUGACGCGCAGGGCUACAGGGAAUCCGCCGACGACAUAUGUGGCUUCUCCUAUGCCUGAUGGUGCUGUCAUUGCAGCGGCGGCAGCGGAUCUGAGUCCCACCCGUCGGGAUCGAACGACAGAUGGCGUGAGGCAGCUGGAAGCGAGUCCCACUCCCAACCUGAGGGCUCGACCUUCUCGAUUCCUGGCCGCGGCAGGUGCGGAACUCCGAAGUGACGGUGAACUCGCCGGCCUCGCACUGCCCCCACACAAGUGCCAUCAGGUCUGCAAGCUCUGGUCGCUUGUCUUGAUAUCAGCCAUGUAAUCAUAUCUCACUUCAUUGUGCAAUCUUGUUUCUGAUUCUUGGAGCUUGGACAUCUGAAAUUCUUUGUUUCGAAGCAUAUUUUUUCAGAUUGUUUCAUCUUAGUUUAUUGACAACAAAAUUGUUAACCUUUCUUAACCUUUGGUUGGACCAACUAAUUCACAAUCUUUUAGGUCAGAAUUUUCACGAGUACUCACUUAGGCUAUAGUUUUUCCUUUUCUUUUCUUUAACUCCCAGAAAAACAACAGCGUGCAUUGCAUCAUAUUAACCACUUGAUAUUACAGUGAUCAAUAUAUAGGAAUUUCAACUCAAGAAACAACUAAUAAGGUUGCUGAAAGGGUUAGGAUUUGAACUUAAGGUUUUUUUCUUGCUUAGCAGUUCAGUCUAUUGAAUUAAAUAGUUGCAUAUCUCUUCUAUUAUAAUUGGAUUUUUGCAAAGAUCUUUUCAGAUGGAGAGAUCACGGGCUUAUUGGCUUAAGCAAAUGAUCAAAUCCUUGGGCACUGAUAAAAAUUACUGAUGUGUGUGGUGGCAGCUGGCAUGUGAGUGUGCACUGACACAUCUAAAUAUAUUUUCUUAACAAUUAGUGAUCAGGGCAAUACUGUUUUCUUAACAACUCGUUUGUUGUGCAUGCACACUAAAUAUGUUUGACACAACUGAUGUUAAAUUGUUAGAGUAUUCACGCUCCCGUUGCGACGCACGGAUGAUUACCAGAUGAAUGUGAUACAGUAUAUUUCAAAUUUUUGUGCAGUUGCAUCAGCUACGACUUGUAAGGUAUAAACUUUGGGACUGUAUAUAGAGAAAAAAAGUGGUUUUCCUGCACUACACACUUAAAUAAUUAUAUUGCUAAUGCAAGUGAACAAUCAGCAUUUCUUAUUGAGCCAUGCUAAUGUUUCUCUUUGUUUAAUUGCGUACUCCUUUUGUUUACUUCUUCAGAAAGCACUUCGCUCUGUUGCACACAAGCAAUAACUAUUUCUGCACCAAUCUGUCCGAAGAUAUGAAGUUUGAACCAGCCCUUAGCUUGCAUUUGGUCAGUUCAUCUUUCAGGAGAAUAUGCAUCUUACUUAGUUCGAGGUGAAAUUUUGUUUGUCGCAUCAGGAAUAAAAAAAAUAUGGUGCCUCCGUAUCUUUAUAUAAAGUCCUUACUAUAUAUGUUGCUCCCUUCCAUUGAAUUGGAUGUAACAUUGUGUACACUUAAUGUCGAGACUAAUGUCUAUCGCCAAUUUCAGUAUAGUCGAAACAUAUUGAUGGCACUGAAAAUGAUUCUGCUUUUGCAGGUCUGACGUGACUCUUCUUUGUACGUAUGUAAUUGGUUUAUUUCUUGAUAGGUUGGUACUCUCUGAAUUUCUUGAUGAGCGUUCCCGUUGCUGCACCGCAUUGUGGCCGAGUCCUCUUCUGGGUCAUGCCAGUGACAUGAGCAGGAUGGUGUAUACCGGCUUCCCAGACAUGUGUCUGUCGAGGCCGCACCGGGUUUGUGGAGGUGAUGGCACGAGUAUUUACCAGGAUGCUUGGAGAUGCGUUGGCAUAUGUCCAGAACAACCUGGUCCACGCAUGGGGUCUGACUUGAAUAUUUCAGGAGAUGACUAGAUGUAAAUUUGACUUUCAGAUAAUACAUCUGUCAAUUGCGCAGAAUCAUAUAGAGCAGAUGGGCAUCGUUGACACGUAGUGCAUGACACAUUGCGCGAUUAAGAUGUUCUUAGGCCAGCUAAGUAACAUAAGACAACUUUUGUAUGAAGAUCGGUUGUUCGGUUUCACUCUGACAGUUUAGAAGCUUUUGUUUGGCGUUUCUCUCGGCCGGAUAAUAGAGAAAAAGAGACUUACGCAGGGUAUGUUUUCUCUCUCUAACAAUAAUUAAAUUUUGUACUAAGAAAACUCGUUAGAUGUUCUUACUGCUUGAUCUCACAUCAUAUUUACGUGCUAAGAAAUGAGUUGUAACUGAAACAAUAAUGUUAAUUUAUGUAAUUAUAUACUGUGUUGGAUAUUAGUUUUUUAUAAAAUUAAUUCCGUGUUCAAUUGGUUUUUCUUUUUGUGUGUCAAGAAUUUUUUUACAAUCUGUAACAUGAGUAAUUUUUUUGACAUACAUAAAUAUAUAUAUUUUUGUAUACGUGGAAUAUAUUACAAGAUCCAUCAUAAAACUGAAACAGCAUCAAGGCUCUUUGAAGUCAUAAUAUCCAGCUUCACCUUCAAAUGUCGACGUUCUACCAUGAUUGUGCAAUAUAUUUCAAGGCCCAUGAUAAAACUGAAAGAGCAUCAAGGGUUUUACAGGUCAUGGUUGCCGGGUUUUGCUGGCGUUGUGGUCCAUGCAUACCAAUUCUUUGAAUCAGUGCCACCGUGCAGUGAUGUAAGAAAAAGGUGUGUCGUUUGUCGACUGUGGGCAAUGGAGUGAUGUAGAUGUACUGUAGAGUACAUAUUCAAGGGAACAGUGAGGUGACUUUAGAUAGCUGUAAUGAGCUGAUGGAGCCUUUGACCUGAAGUUAUAUUUGUAUAGAUUACAUGAUUUGUUGAUGAGGAUAAGAAAGAGGAGCUGAUGGCAAACCAACCGAGGAAGGUCACCGAAGAUUGAGGUUGGGCGCGAUGCCACAUCAGAAGUUAUUUAGGCUAUGGGUGAGUUCGGGGCCAUGGAGUGAGCCGAUAGGAGGGUCGAGUAUGGUGCAUACAUGUCAACGUUGGUAGUCAGAACUUGAUGCUGAGUGUGGAUGGGAAUGAUGGGGUGAGGAUGAGCGUGCUUUAGUCCAGCAAUUUGUCAUUGCCAAAUGGUUCAAUCCCGGUGAUGUCAUUGCUGGAUAUGCAAGGUCUCACUGGGCAAGCGACGAAGAUUUCAUCCUCAACCUCCCUCAUGGCCCCAGGUUGGGGACAUGGCGUGAAGAUAUGGUUUUGUGUGAUCUAUGGUCCUGAGUCAUCUGUUGGAUGGGUGAUAAUGGAAAUUUUCUUGAGGACAAACACGUGCAUAAGUCUUGGGUUUGUUGUAGAUGGAUGCUGUGGCACCUUCUGAGAAAUGCACCUUGAGAAGAUGGCGCAAGGAGGAGCUUGACGACAAACCGAUCACUGUAUUGUCAGACUGGAGACCAAGUUACAGUAACUUGCAGGUUCAAUGUAAUCAUUCCAUUCCUCAUCAAUUCAGCGAGGUACAGAGAAUAGUGCGGUGCUAUGGAGGAACAUCUUACAGUACAGUGUGAAGACCUACUGGGCAGGUUGACUGAAGUUUACACACAGAGCUAAGAUAAGAAACAUUGGGCUCUUCGUGAAGGCAGGAACAAAACAAUUUUGUUAUCGUGCCGUGCUCAAGAGGAGGAAGAAGAGAAUAGCAUUUGUUAUAUAUGUGUGAACUGUGAAGAUAUGGCCAAAAGCAUAUGAUCGAGUUGAAUGGGUAUAUCUCAGGGAGAUCAUGUUAAAGCUCAAGUUUGAGGAAGCUUGGGUGCAAACAAUCAUGAAAUGCGGCGAGCACUGGUGCCCUCCUGUGAGCCCAAGCCUAUUGGUAUCAUCAUGCUACUAAUGCACCUGCCAAUGGACUACCUGGGAUGGAAUCAGUCAUGCGGCACUUUCUGAGAAUGCAGCUUGAGAAGAUGGUGCAAGGAGGAGCUGUGACGACAAAUCGAUCGCUGUAUUGUCAGACUGGAGACCACGUUACAAGAACUUGCAGGUUCAAAAUAAUCAUUUCAUUCCUCAUCAAUUCAGUGAGGUAGAAGAGCGUCCUUGGCAGAUUGAACUGCAAAGGAAUCAAGUGGAAACACUUGCCAAGUGGAAUGUACUCUACCAAGGGCGCCUAUAGAUGAUACAUGUGUCUCCAAGAAGUUGAAGAAUACAUAGAGCAUCACGUCAAUGACAUACUCUGAAACCUCAAACGGGAGGCUGGUGCUUUAAUGGCAGGGAUGGUGUUAAACGGAAGGAUGGUGCUUCAAGAAGUCAGUUAAGCGUGGAGUUUUUUUUUUUCAAGACCGAGCGACAUCUCUACAAUGGUGAUCUCAACGAAUGACAGAAACUUGGUGACAAGAGUACAAGAGCUGAUUGAUCAGUGACCAAUGUAUGGGAUGUGCAGGAAAUCACCAAAAUUCCGCUCCAUGAUCAGUUUGAUGAUCAGCCUGCCUGACACUAUGACAAAAGAGUCUUAUUCUUUGUUAAAUCAGCCUACAAAGUGGCUAGAGAUAGCAGCGAAGCACAUGAAUCAAUUCGAGGAUUCGCAACAACGUCAAAUCCUGCUGCUGAUAAUCAGAUUUUUUUUAAUAGAAGAAACUAUGGAGACUAUCUUUACCAAACAAAGUACUGCACUUCCUCUGGAGGUCAACCACUAGUAGUUCACCAAUGUGACAAAAAGUAAAAACGAGACGCGUGGAUGUAGAGACAAGGUGGCCUCUUUGUUUCAGGUUGGACAAAGAUGAAGGACACCUCCAGGAGAUGUCUGAGUGGCCUACAUGCUGAAUUCCUGGGACUACUUCAAGCUGUGCAAAUCACUUCAGCCAUGUGAUGCAGCAAGGUGCUUGGAGCUGGAAAUGGAUGCAUCAACUCUGAGGCUGGCAGUCAGAGUGUUAUGUGUUCAAUAUGAAAUUUGUAAUUUUUUUCUAACGCUGUGGCGCAUGAAAUACAGUAGCCUAUGAAUUUAGGAGGAGAAUGUGUUGUUACAAUAGAAAGAGGCCCUGGUCUGGUCAUGCCAGGCCUGAUACAAAAUGGAACUAGUCGUGAUCAAUGGGCAAUCUGCCCAGCUCAAUCUAUACUAACUUGUGUAUUUGUUGUAGAUGCAUCAAAUCUGAAACUGGUGUUAAUUGACUUGUGUAUUUUGUGGU
This is a long non-coding RNA of Triticum aestivum (bread wheat), 5669 nucleotides long. RefSeq lists it as uncharacterized. The record is from RefSeq and is a predicted model, not a curated record. Lineage: Eukaryota; Viridiplantae; Streptophyta; Magnoliopsida; Poales; Poaceae. The transcript has 8 exons.